Molecule: transfer RNA, 68 nt
Filed under: Phalops barbicornis
Lineage: Eukaryota; Metazoa; Arthropoda; Insecta; Coleoptera; Scarabaeidae
Description: tRNA-Arg
Source: RNAcentral
AAAUAAGAAACAAAAUAAUUGUAUUUAGUUUCGACCUAAAAUUUUGAUGAUAAAAUCAUCCUUAUUUA